GUGCUUGCUUCAGCAGCAUAUAUACUAAAAUCGGAACAGUACAAAGAAGAUUAGUGUGGCCCCUGAUCGAAGAGGGCAUGCAAAUUCGUGAAGUGUUGCAUAAAAAA
This is a small nuclear RNA of Echinops telfairi (small Madagascar hedgehog), 107 nucleotides long. The record is from RefSeq and is a predicted model, not a curated record. Lineage: Eukaryota; Metazoa; Chordata; Mammalia; Afrosoricida; Tenrecidae.